This is a non-coding RNA of Arachis ipaensis, 146 nucleotides long. The record is from RefSeq and is a predicted model, not a curated record. NCBI's taxonomy places the organism in Eukaryota, Viridiplantae, Streptophyta, Magnoliopsida, Fabales, Fabaceae.
UCAUCUACAAACUUCAAUGAAUUUUUUAUGCAUUUACCCCUUGACAUGAUUAUUGCAUAUCAACAAACACAAAACUGUUAAACACACAAAAAAUAAUUAGACAUUAUACUAAUAAUUAAACAUAAAAUUGUCAAGCACAUAAUAAA